Long non-coding RNA from Oncorhynchus keta (chum salmon), 1848 nucleotides. RefSeq lists it as uncharacterized. NCBI's taxonomy places the organism in Eukaryota, Metazoa, Chordata, Actinopteri, Salmoniformes, Salmonidae. The record is from RefSeq and is a predicted model, not a curated record. The transcript is spliced from 6 exons.
ACGGUCUGUGGCGUGUGAGUGUGAGAGAGAAAGUGAGUUGUAAUCUCAUAGUUGAAACCAAUACUUUUCUCAGGGCAGGUCUGCCGGUUUUAACUAGCAGAAGUUAGUUUUCUUAGCAGGUUAGGAUAAUUAGGUAAAGGUAAAAUGCUAACAAUGUCCCCGAUGCGACUCGAAUCUAUGUACAACCAUGAGAACAGACUUCAUUUUUCCACUAUGCGAUGCUCCGGGCCAAACGGUCUGUGAGGGAAGACUCAAGAGGAAAUUAGCUUUCUGUUCUACUCGAGCUAUUUUAUUUUGCAUUUUCGUGGAAAAGUCGCCUAAAUACUUUUGAGCAGCUGCUAUAGUUUAGGCAUGGAGGGUCUUCAAGAUGCAAUUAAACACCAAUUGCCUGAGUUGGAGACCGAGAUGGGGAGAUCUUUGUCGGAGCAUCUGAGGGCAAAUUUUGGAGUGGAGAAUAUUAACAACCUUGAAUAUGUUCAGCCGGAGGACAUAAGUACAUUUGAUGCCAAUAUAGUGCCUGGAAUUGCUUCAGUCCUUCAACCAAAGAGAAGAAUGGAUAGGAUCUGUAACAAUGGAUAGUACACUUGUCCUCCAAGCAUCAGUGACCUCUAAUAACAGUGGCCUUUGCUUUUCACCAAGUUAUGACUAUGCGACGACUUCAAUACCCUCACUUCAAUACCCUCACUGGCAUCGUGAUUGACAGUCGCCUGACUCAAGCUCUCCUGAACAAGGGUAAGAGAAUUGUCAACUUUUUAAAAUGCCAAAAGAUCAAGUUGAGAAGAGGGAUCUAGUGCCUGCUGAAUGAAAUCGACGGUUACAUCAAAGGCAAUGACAAUCUAACAGCCACUGAUGUUAGUCUCUCUUCCUCUUGGCAGAUGUAAGGAAUAGCGUUUUUAUACUUAUAAAGUUUAUAUGAUUAAUUGUGUUUAUACUGUACUAUUUUUACACAUGAUUUUAAUAUUUUUUUAAUAUGUUUUGUGAUUUUAGGUCACUGCAACUCGGGUUGACGUCGAGGCGCAAAUUCCUUUGCCAGACACACCAAGGCUGAUCAUGCUUGGAAAUACUCUAUUGGGUUCCUCAAAAUGGAUGGUGUCGAUCGAGGGGAGAGUGGUCUGUGUUAUGGACAGUGAGUCCAAAUUUUGUUGCUGCCCUCUGUGCUCUUCAGCACUUUCUAUGAAUUUAAUAUAGAAUACCAGGAGUCAGUCUCUGCAACCUUGGAGCUGAUACAGAGGAACCAAAUGCACAGCGAAAGCAGGAGUGAGCCGCAAAACCGGAAAGGUCGUUCAGAGGAAGCCAUUGCCAAUUGACCCACAUGUUAAGUGCUUUCUCGCAGACCUGAAGGAGUUUGAGUGGAAAAACUCCAACAUGAAAUCCUGCCAUGCGGUUUGGGUCAGCAAAUGAUCUGCUUGCGCCAUCCUGGAGCCUGUGUUGGCUUGCAGUAGCGUGCUUCUCUGGCUCCAGUCAAGCCCUGCUCACUCCUCUCUAUCAUCCUUCUCUCUCAGCCCCUUUCUCUCUCGAUCUCUCUCUCUCUCACACAGGCAAGCAGUUCUUGUUUUAGUUUUUUGUGAAAACUAAACUGUUUUCCUAUUUUUCAAUGAUCUGUUUAGAUUAUUAUUCUCUUCUUUUCUUUUUACAUAAUCCUAUAUUUUCAAGAAUGACCUAUUCUGAUGUCUUGGUUUGUGUAUGGUGAAGUACAUUAUUGGCCAGUAUUUGUCAAUGUUCUUAUCACUGUAUCUGUCUCUUUCUCUCCCCUACUAUCUGGAGUUGUAAUGUUGCUCUUUUCAAAUGUUGUUUUUGUGGUUAAAGUGCAAUUCAUGUUAUGAAUUUGAAUAAAUAUAUAUAUUUGUA